This is a long non-coding RNA of Strigops habroptila (Kakapo), 7242 nucleotides long. RefSeq lists it as uncharacterized. NCBI's taxonomy places the organism in Eukaryota, Metazoa, Chordata, Aves, Psittaciformes, Psittacidae. The transcript has 2 exons. The record is from RefSeq and is a predicted model, not a curated record.
UCAGAAAUGUAUUUAAAUCUUAUUCACAGUUCUGAUACAUGCUGAAAGUUAAGAAGAUGCUAAGCACUCCCCUGAUACAGAGUGCUAGUAGUGGGUUUGGGUUUUAUUUUUCUUCUUAUAUUAAAUUGUGACUGAAUUUAUUUGGCCAUCUUUUCAUCUGUAACCUAUCUCGUGGCUUUCGAGGGCAGAUAAAGCAAAAAUAUCUAUAGCUAUUGUAUUAAAUAAGGCUGUCACCAACCCCAACUGUGGAACAGGGGAUCAGUACGUGUCUGGACAAAUUAUGUAGUUUCUUCUGUCUUCCAGUAUAUGUUUUGGUUUUGCUGUGCCUCUAUAAGGCCAAUUAACAUUAAUGGGAGUUGUCUACACACACCCAGCAGAGAACAGACCCUUACAGGAGGACCUCAUUAGCUCGCUCUUUCUGCAGCUUUCGUUCUGAGUUGCUAAAUUUUAUGGAUUAGCAAGAAUGCUAAAAAUAUGGAAAAGUAAUCCGGAUAUUGCCAUACCAAAGUGCUUACUUAAUGAAUUUUAAUGAGUCAGGUUUGAGAAUGAAUUUGUAGGUCCAUAUAUAACUAGACCUCUGGAAAAACUAUACAAAGGCAAUCUGAUCAUCCAGCUGUAUAAAUAUCCCACUGCAUGGUCCUGACCUCUUACACUCAGUAUAAUUCCCUGAGAAACUGUUUCCAAGGGAAAAACACUAGAAAUUCUCAUAAACUUUUAUUUCUCAACCUGUCAAAGAAGAGGCGUUUGUAAAGGGAGUCACGCACAGGAGAACGCCCAGAGGAUGUCCUUGGGACAAUAAUGCUGCAAGGAUUGCUCAUCUCCUGGGAUAAUGCUGUGAGUUCCAACCACCCUCGAGCAAACUGAGCUGGUAUUUUUAAAGACGCUGCAUAUUUAAGACAACUAUGAGAAACCUGCAGCCCCUGACAUCAUUUCUCUGGCCAAGAGAUGCUUGAUUUUUCCCACGUUAAUAGAGGGAUAACAUUAGAUGUGUUUUUAUGUGUGGUCUCCCAGUGGUAUCUGAAGGGCCCUCAGCAUGGAAAGAUUCUUCCCUGUUUCUUUUUCUCCCUGUGGAUUUGAGGGAAUGUAACUGUAAGAGGAGGCAGGUUCAGCAGUGAAGCUGUUCCUCAGCCCUGUCUUACCAUACACCCCAGCACCCUGGAGUGAGGGACCUGGGUUGUAUUGGAACAAACACUAUGAAUUUGCAAGUCAAAAAGUGAAGCAUCUGAAUUCGAUGUGUAUCAAUGUGGAUUAAUUAUCGGGAUCGUGGGAAAAAUGAACACAGUUGAAAAGGAAUGAUGAAACUGCAAUAAAGCACAUGGAGGUUGGGAAGUCACCCUCCUUUUUAAACAAGUAAGUUUUGAAAAUAUUAAGCAAAUGCAAGAUUUAAAUAGAAAAAUAUCCCUGUGCAGUAGCAAUCAUUUCAUCCAGCUGGAAUCCCACCACAAACUCUGCCUCCCAUUGCUGUUCGCCAGCACGUAAUGUGUUAUCUUCUGCUAUGUGAUGCCUUCCCACUGUCCCCUUGCAGAACACCCAGUUGCAGAAGGGGAACAUGAGGCAGUAUAUAACCCUGCUAAAUUCAACUCAUUACUUUUUUUAAAUGAAAGAAAGCUGCAUUUGCAGGGAGUUCUCAGAGGCCUGGAAAGUCUCAGAACUAUCCCGCUACUCUCUGUCUUUUCCUGCAGUCAUCUUUGAAAGUAUUUCUGUUCUCUUCUGCUACUCUGUGGAAUAUUUUUUCAUUCUUAAAUUGAUGAUUUGUCCUUUGCGAUGUUUCUGUGUGAGGAUUUAUAUGUUCUCCAAUGAGGAGGAAACAAAUAAGAACCUGAAUUCUGAAAGCCACAAAGCCUGGAUUACGUAUCUCUGAAAUGCCGUGAUUUUAUCCUGACUUUUCACCCUGAGAGUCCACUUCUCUCUGCCAGCAUCUCUGCUCUGCACCAGACAGGUCUCACUGACCUAGGCCCAACACAGGACAAGACCCAGCUCAUUGUGCUUCCUCCAAAUAGCGCACAAACUAAACACUGGCUCUGGAGGAACUGCACUGGUAUCUCUAAUUCGCUUUUGAAACCCAGUUACCUUAAAUUGUGCCAUGCCCUGGCUGGGGCUUACUUGCAUUCUCAUCUGUAGUACAGUGAUUUAGCUUGGUAAAAGCUCCAAUUAGUGUGUCAGCUAGUGCAAAGUAAGGGCUGAGCAUAGGGAUGCCAAAAAUGGUGGGAGACAGUGAAGCUUCGGAAUACGUUUGGGUAUAGAGGGAGGGGAGAGUUAGAUCUCUGGAGGAAACUGAGUGGGAGGACAGGGAGAUCCAUGAGAAAACCCAGGGAGAAAGGGUCCUGGGGCUGUCAUCUUUAUCCUCAAACUGUCUGUGGCCCAUCAGUCCUCUCCCUGCUUGUCCUCACUUCCCAAAUCAGUGGAGAGCAGCCUCAUUGACCUCAUCUACCUUGCCAUUUAUCAAGGACAGGACCGCAGCAGAAACCAUGCCAAGCAGGGAGAAGAGGCUCCUGCAGCCGUCCCACAUGGGCCAUCUGGCUAUUCUAUAUUCUCAUCUUGCCUUUCAGGCCUUAUCAUUUUGAAAUUAGCUCUUGGGGUUGAAUUUAACAUUCUUACUUUCAAAAAAGUAAGCAAGCAAAAAGACAAGGUUUUAGUUUUCAUUUUUAUUGUUGUUUCCAGUCCAGCUCUUUCAUGCUAUUUUUAGAUUCCUGUGUUUUAAUGCUGUGGUAUGAAUUACUGGGAUUUCCCCUUGCUAACAUAAAAUAGACAAUCUGCACUUUGGUAUUAGCAGUCAGCCAGGAAGUCCAUGACUGGUGCCAAAAAUGGGCCUUCUUUCAUAAAUCUGCAUUUGUUUCAUUUCCUUUUGCAGCAAUGACAUGCCAGAUCAGCUGCAUUUGUUUCUUGAUAUAUUAUGUAGUGCCAUAUAACAUGACAGGCUUAACUGGAAAUGAGAGACAAGAUUUGUCUCUAUUUGAUUCACUGAUGAUACAUACAGUUGGGAAAUGCUGGUUUUGAAGAAAUCACAGGAAUAUUUUCUGAUUCCUAUAAAGAACAACUGGCAGAAGACAGUCAUUCUACAGGGAGCUUUAAAUCUUUGAAAACAUACAAGAUGAAUCUUGUAUGUCUAAUUGCCUUUAACACCUUGACAGAAUUAUCUUUUAUUGAUCAUAUAUUUAUUGCAAGGCAAGGAACCUGUAACCAAGUAGGCUGAAAUGAACUGAAGGCUCCAGAGAUCCAGAUCCUCUUCCAGGUCUGCCACCGUCUGAGCAACCCAUCUCUGUUUUGCUGUGAAAUGGGAAUCGUUCUGUUGAUCCACCUUCUGUGCAGCCUGUGAAGGAAAAAGGUAAAAAACUUGUAAUUAUGCUUCUCUCUGGACCGGAGUUAACUUCCAAAACACUCUAAUUGCUAAUGUGGCUGGUCUCUUCCUCUGAUCCAGGAAGGUGGUAAGGAUUACAUGAAGCCAUUUUUUAACUUCUAUUUUUAAGAGCUCUGAAAGGCAACACCUAAAUGCUAGUCAUUGCCAUCCUUAAAUAAAUAAAAUGGCAGCUCCAGGCACUUUGACAUUCAUGGUUAGCAGGGAACACAGGCAGUGCUGGGAAUGCAGAGCAGCAGCAUGCAUGGCAUGGCAUCACUCUGUACAGCUUGCUUUCAGCCAGGGAAAGGUUCUUGGUGCAUCAUACCAGCUCCCUGGCACAGUGCCCUCAGACUGCCUCUCAAAAACAUAGCUCAUGCAGAUGUGGUCCAGCAAGGACUGUGACAGCCAGUUACUGGACCAGCGGUCAAAAGGGCUGCCAUUAUCUCACUGGGAUGAACACCAUUCUUAGGGGGACAAAGUUCAGCAGAGCUGAUCAAAGCAGCCCUCUGCUCUGUGCUCAGGAGGAAGAGCUCACCAUGCUGGGAUCUCUGGGGUAACCUGUUAAUCAAAGCAAAUCAAGCCAGGUGAUUUGCGUACCACUGAAAAUGCACGCAGAGUGUGAGGCAGCAGCCUAUGAACAGAUUAUUAGAGACCUAAAUUCAUCUCACAUGCAGAUCCCUGGAGGCUAAUGAAGUCCCAGCCAAUACGCUGGCACAAAUGACGAAGCACUCCUUACUGCACUGUGCUGCAGCAUGAUAAUGUACAGGAAUGUGCACAUAAAUAAGCAGGUCAUGGGAAGCAGCAACAGAAAGAAAGGCACAAAUGCAGCAAUAGCACCAGGUAUUGUGCUUGGUUUACUCCUCUGCAGUUUGGCCUGCAGUGAUGUGCUGCACUUGGCUCUGUACCUUCGAGCUAUGCUCAGUGCCUUACAUAAGGAUUUUCCCUUGGCGUGCUACGAGCAACAAGUCAGGCUGGAGGUAAUGGUGAGCUUGGCCUCACUUGCUUUGUUGGGCUAAAGCUGACCACUUCAGGCACAUCAGGCACCACGGGGAGCAAGAGCUUUGAGUUGCUAGAGGAAGACAUUUGAUAACCUUCCAGAUGUGGAUAAAGAUUAUGGUUAGGGGCACGUUAUACUCAUUCCUGGAUUGCUGAGUACUAGACUGUAUUUACUUGCAAGGCUGUAUUCCCACAGGCAGGCUUGUAUUAGGAGACACGUCCUGUUGAUGCCACUGCUGUCCCAGACGGUGAGAGGUCCAAAUCCCACCCCUGCAUUUCCCUUCAAGGUCACACGCUUCCAGGAUUUCCUGUUCAGGCAGUGCCAGGCUCUCCUGAUCAGCAACUGCUUCUCUCACCCCACCCCCAGUCCCGAGCUUAGUCACUUCCAGCCACCGGUUCUGCUUCCUGCCCUGCUGCUGCUGAGGCCUCUUCCAAUUGUGAAACCAGCGGUUAACUUCGUGACCAGCAGUGAGCAAGCCUGCCCAUCCCACUGCCACACACAGGCUGCCCGCCUGAGGCAGGCCUGGCUCUGCUAAUGCCUGCAACAUGCCUGGGAGAAGCAGCAAUAUUUGAUAGCUGAAGAGUUGCACAAGAAAGCAGCAGUCACUUGCCUAGGAUGUCUGAGGAACAGAAAUUGAAUGCAGACCUCCCACGGUCAAGGACUGUGCUUUUACCUACCAUAAAUCCUCUUCUUAUAAUGACGAAAAGGUUGUUCCAUGAGAAGAGGUACUUCUCAAUGCAGAAAGCAUCCUCUGUGCUGUGUGCUUUUUUUUUUUCCCAGCUCCCAUCCUUCCCACUUCAGGAAUGGUGCAUCUUACAGAAGUCAGGCAUUUUUGGUGAAGGGUCCUCAUCUGUAAAAUAAAUGGGAGCCAGAACUCAGCAUUAAAACAAAACCUCCACCCCUUUAGUACCACUGAUAACUGGACUUUCCACAAGCACAAGGUGAAACAGGGACGACAGUUCAGGCAAACCACCACCCAGGCAGCAGGGCAGAAAAACACUGACUGUGAAAGGAACCUGCUAACCGUAGGAUACAAGAUUUGUUCUUCUCGGCUUUCCUGUGGCUAAGGACAUGACUAAUCCUGUGUGACAGCCCCAUGCUUGGAGCCUGCUGCUCUUACUGGUGCAGCUGGGGACUCUGUCACUUUUCACCAUCACAACUCGAAAUGAAAACUCUUCUGCAAUGAAAUUGUUUCUGCAGUGAAAUGGAGGAUCACUAAAGCUCUUGCCACAACCACUGGGAAUAAAUUCACUUUAAUUUUAUUUGCAGUAUUACAAAUAAUUGGAGAAUUAUGUAUGUCCCCUGUGUGGUGUGAUGUGGGUGUGCAUACUACUGAGUGAAAUGUGAAUACGUUUGGUUUUAAGCCAUGAGCUACUGUACUUCAGGAUGGACCCAGCGAGUGUGGCAGCACCCUCUUAGUCACUCCGAUGAAACCCCAGUUCAAGCCUGACUUCCCAGCAAGGUUCAGUCUUGCACAUGUACUGAUGAAAUGAAGGUUGUACUCUGCUGUUCCAGAUUCUCUGGCGAGCAAUUUCAUCCCCAUGACAUACCUGGGCAACCUUCCGGUGUGCCCUCACUUGUAGCUCUGUGGCUGCGGCCUCAGUGGGCUUUCAGCAAAGAGGAGGCCAUGGCUAAGUCUUUUCUCAGCCCAGCCCAAAGCAGCCUCUGGCACCACAGGAUCCUGCAGUGAGCCCAGGCUCAGCACAGCCAGCCCCAGGCCUGCUGGGGAGCCUCUUUAUUUCAGACCAUAAAAAAGCUCCAGCAAAUUUUAUCACCAUGGCUUGUCAACAUGGCUUCAAAAUUGUUGCUGCAGUUUCACUAGAGAUGGGUGCAAAGCUACUGGUGAAAUCUUACGUAAACAGGAAGAAAAUAUAGCUGUUCCCUUAGUGACUCCAUAGUGACAGGGAAAUGCCUUCCAAUUUCACAAUCAUCUCUUUUCAGUAUGGGUCAAGUUCACCACCUCUCCUGAUUAGGCCUACUGCUGUCAGCCGAGGAAGACAGGCUGGACUCAGUCCUCAGCAGUACUUUGCACAUCAGGACACGUCUCUGCCUCUGAACUGCUGACCUCCCACUUCUCCCUAGAGACAAGCUGCUAGGCAGCUCAAACACACCGCAGGCACCAAGCUCUGGUAAACAGCUGGACAUUAACCUGUCAUGAACCUUACCUCAGGGUGAAGCAGUGCAGAAAUCAGACAGCAGAACUAAGGUCACUCCAUGUGCUGAACCUCUCCUGGAGCCUCACAAGGAACACGCUGCCAGUGAAAGGCUGCAGCCCAAGCUUGGCUGGCACUACGUGUGCUUUUAGCAGGGACUAUGAACACUCCUUUGUGUGUGCACCUCUGGUAACAUAGUGUAGACUUCCCUCGUGCCCUCAAAUAUCUCAGCAGUUCUGGGCCUUCUGCUGACAAAUGGGCCAAAUUUGUCAAUAGUUUUUCUCAGGAUGAAUGGCAAAGAAACCUAGAGCUUUUAAAGCAAGUAUUUUGUCUAAAAUGUCCUUUCUUAACCAUUUAGGGUAAUUACAAGUAGCAAACAGAUCAUGUAAACCAUGACUUCCUGAUGCGCAAUUCACCGGAAUGAAAGCUAAAUCAAUGCAAUGAACUGGGGUGCUGAGCAGGUUAUCACACUCUUAUGUGACAAGAGACCUGAAGCGACCACCUUGUAACUUCUUCCACUGGUUUCUGUUCCAGGCCUCUCUUGCAUGAUGGUGGUGAAGCCUGCUGCAAUUCAUUUAACCACAUGAGCUCUCAUGAGCUGACACUUAGCCAGCAUCAGAGCAGCAACGCCAAUUCUGGUUACUCAGUGGCCACAACCCAUGACUGCUGAGCCCUCUCUUGCUUAGUGCAUUUGCUGAAGGCAGUGCAGCUGGUCGUAACAGCAAUGGAGCAAUAAAAAACUCAUUUUCAUCCGA